GACGGAGGGCGCGAGCGUUGUUCGGAAUCACUGGGCGUAAAGCGCACGCAGGCGGGUCGGGAAGUCGGAGGUGAAAGCCCGGGGCUCAACCCCGGGACGCCCUCCGAAACUCCCGACCUAGGGACCGGUAGAGGCUGGUGGAAUUCCCGGAGUAGCGGUGGAAUGCGUAGAGAUCGGGAAGAACACCCGUGGCGAAGGCGGCCAGCUGGGCCGGGUCCGACGCUCAGGUGCGAAAGCGUGGGGAGCAAACAGG
Molecule: unclassified non-coding RNA, 253 nt
Filed under: uncultured Gemmatimonadota bacterium
Lineage: Bacteria; Pseudomonadati; Gemmatimonadota
Description: uncultured Gemmatimonadetes bacterium contains 16S-23S intergenic spacer region
Rfam family: Bacterial small subunit ribosomal RNA
Source: RNAcentral